UUUGGCACCAUGGGACUCUAAU
RNAcentral lists this microRNA (22 nucleotides) under Strongyloides ratti. Its description in RNAcentral is "str-miR-8369-3p". The record is from miRBase by way of RNAcentral. Lineage: Eukaryota; Metazoa; Nematoda; Chromadorea; Rhabditida; Strongyloididae.